GAUCAUGGCUCAGGAUGAACGCUAGCGGCAGGCUUAACACAUGCAAGUCGAGGGGCAGCGGGAGGAGUGCUUGCACUUCUUGCCGGCGACCGGCGCACGGGUGAGUAACACGUAUGCAACCUGCCUCCGUCAGGGGGACAACCCGGCGAAAGCCGGGCUAAUCCCGCGUAUAUUCCGUGAGGGCAUCCUUACGGAAGGAAAGGUUUAGGCCGGACGGGGAUGGGCAUGCGGCGCAUUAGGUAGUCGGGGGUG
Molecule: ribosomal RNA, 252 nt
Filed under: uncultured bacterium
Lineage: Bacteria
Description: partial 16S ribosomal RNA
Rfam family: Bacterial small subunit ribosomal RNA
Source: RNAcentral